This 300-nucleotide unclassified non-coding RNA is filed under the name uncultured Microbotryomycetes. RNAcentral describes it as "sequence contains 5.8S rRNA gene, ITS2, 28S rRNA gene". The stretch from base 1 to 52 matches the Rfam family "5.8S ribosomal RNA", at positions 103 to 154 of the family's 154-position model. Lineage: Eukaryota; Fungi; Basidiomycota; Microbotryomycetes. The record is from RNAcentral.
AACGCACCUUGCGCUCUCUGGUAUUCCGGAGAGCAUGUCUGUUUCAGUGUCAUGAACUCUUCAACCCGCCCUUUUCUUAAUGAUUAGGAGUCGGUGCUUGGAUUCUGAGCUCUUGCUAUUAGCUUAGCUAGCUCGUAAGACAUUAGCAUUUCAAAUUCGUAAUCGGAUUGACUUGGCGUAAUAGACUAUUCGCUGAGGACACUCUUUAGUGGCCGAGACAAGAAAAGAAAAGCUUCCAACCUUUCUAGUCAAAUUUCAAGAUUAGACCUGAAAUCAGGCAGGAUUACCCGCUGAACUUAA